UGUGAUAUGGAGCAGCCAGGUAGCUCAUUAGGCUCAUGACCUAAAGGUCGUAGGUUCAAAUCCUACUAUCACAC
Molecule: transfer RNA, 74 nt
Filed under: Imasa heleensis
Lineage: Eukaryota; Malawimonada; Malawimonadea; Malawimonadida; Imasidae
Description: tRNA-Met
Rfam family: tRNA
About the family: Transfer RNA (tRNA) molecules are approximately 80 nucleotides in length.
Source: RNAcentral